Molecule: transfer RNA, 74 nt
Filed under: Bacteroides sp.
Lineage: Bacteria; Pseudomonadati; Bacteroidota; Bacteroidia; Bacteroidales; Bacteroidaceae
Also listed under: 1 other name
Description: tRNA-Ile
Rfam family: tRNA
About the family: Transfer RNA (tRNA) molecules are approximately 80 nucleotides in length. Their secondary structure includes four short double-helical elements and three loops (D, anti-codon, and T loops).
Source: RNAcentral
GGGCUUGUAGCUCAGUUGGUUAGAGCAACAGACUCAUAAUCUGGAGGUCCCUGGUUCAAGCCCAGGCUGGCCCA